ACGUACACUCCUACGGGAGGCAGCAGUGGGGAAUAUUGCACAAUGGGCGCAAGCCUGAUGCAGCCAUGCCGCGUGUGUGAAGAAGGCCUUCGGGUUGUAAAGCACUUUCAGCGGGGAGGAAGGCGAUACGGUUAAUAACCGUGUUGAUUGACGUUACCCGCAGAAGAAGCACCGGCUAACUCCGUGCCAGCAGCCGCGGUAAUACGGAGGGUGCAAGCGUUAAUCGGAAUUACUGGGCGUAAAGCGCACGCAGGCGGUCUGUCAAGUCGGAUGUGAAAUCCCCGGGCUCAACCUGGGAACUGCAUUCGAAACUGGCAGGCUUGAGUCUUGUAGAGGGGGGUAGAAUUCCAGGUGUAGCGGUGAAAUGCGUAGAGAUCUGGAGGAAUACCGGUGGCGAAGGCGGCCCCCUGGACAAAGACUGACGCUCAGGUGCGAAAGCGUGGGGAGCAAACAGGAUUAGAUACCCCGGUAGUCCCAUG
RNAcentral lists this ribosomal RNA (479 nucleotides) under uncultured organism. RNAcentral's name for it is "partial 16S ribosomal RNA". It matches the Rfam family "Bacterial small subunit ribosomal RNA", at positions 329 to 799 of the family's 1533-position model. The record is from RNAcentral.